UAGAAUUCACUAGGAUCAUCGAGAAUAUGGCUCAAGUGUAGGUUUCAGUAAUGGUAGAAUAUUAAUUUGAGUAGCAAGUAAGGGAAUAAGGGACAUAUAAGCAAAAAUGAAAAUUAAAAAAGGACUAAGAUUGAAAACUCAAAAUCUGAGGGCUGCCUUCAUUUGGGCCUAUAAAAGGGCAUGCCCUUUACUUCAUUCACAAGUUUGGACCUCCAAAAAUUCCUCCUAAAUGCUCUCUUUAGUUUUCAAAUAUAAAUUUGAAAUUCCACAUUCAAAAAACCAAAAACAACAAAAAAAUCUUCAGAAAAAGCAAAAGACAUUGUUCCUUUGGAAACUUGAGGUUAAUUUUGAUUUUCUAAUAAUUAAUUUACAUCUUAUGGUUUGUCAUUUGAUAGCUGAAGUUUGAGAGAUCUCCUGCAUUUCAAGUUAAGUCAGUGUUGAAUGUGUUUGGGCCGUUCUGGAUGAUUUUGAGUUAAAAUUGAAUUGUUCAAAGCCUGUUCUGGUCUAUUACUGGUUUUUUCCCAUUGAAAUUAGCUAUUUGGUUAGAGUAUCAUUUUCUGGGUCAAAAACUCAGUUAACAGUCAUUGUUAAUUAUUGAAUACUGCCGUUGAGUACCUGUCUGCUGCUGCAUACCUUUCGUUCCUUUGUUCUAUUUCAAAUCCAGGUACACUGCUUGUAAAUCUCCAUGGUUGAGACUGAAAUCUGAAACGUUGCUCAUCUGUGUCUCCUAGCCCAAUCUCAU
This 742-nucleotide long non-coding RNA is filed under the name Nicotiana benthamiana. RNAcentral describes it as "long non-coding RNA (NBEN_LNC037632)". Lineage: Eukaryota; Viridiplantae; Streptophyta; Magnoliopsida; Solanales; Solanaceae. The record is from RNAcentral.